AGCAACAUCGUUUGCCAAACUAUCCACUUCUACCAAACAAGAAAAUGUGGCACGACGCAAACUUGCGUAUUCUGAAACUCUACACGACACAAAUGUUGAUGAACAGAUUCCAGAUGA
Zea mays is the source of this 117-nucleotide long non-coding RNA. RefSeq lists it as uncharacterized. NCBI's taxonomy places the organism in Eukaryota, Viridiplantae, Streptophyta, Magnoliopsida, Poales, Poaceae. The record is from RefSeq and is a predicted model, not a curated record. The transcript is spliced from 3 exons.